Molecule: ribosomal RNA, 515 nt
Filed under: uncultured bacterium
Lineage: Bacteria
Description: partial 16S ribosomal RNA
Rfam family: Bacterial small subunit ribosomal RNA
Source: RNAcentral
AACGAACGCUGGCGGCGUGCCUAACACAUGCAAGUCGAGCGAAUGGAUUAAGAGCUUGCUCUUAUGAAGUUAGCAGCGGACGGGUGAGUAACACGUGGGUAACCUGCCCAUAAGACUGGGAUAACUCCGGGAAACCGGGGCUAAUACCGGAUAACAUUUUGAACCGCAUGGUUCGAAAUUGAAAGGCGGCUUCGGCUGUCACUUAUGGAUGGACCCGCGUCGCAUUAGCUAGUUGGUGAGGUAACGGCUCACCAAGGCAACGAUGCGUAGCCGACCUGAGAGGGUGAUCGGCCACACUGGGACUGAGACACGGCCCAGACUCCUACGGGAGGCAGCAGUAGGGAAUCUUCCGCAAUGGACGAAAGUCUGACGGAGCAACGCCGCGUGAGUGAUGAAGGCUUUCGGGUCGUAAAACUCUGUUGUUAGGGAAGAACAAGUGCUAGUUGAAUAAGCUGGCACCUUGACGGUACCUAACCAGAAAGCCACGGCUAACUACGUGCCAGCCGCCGCCGUAA